RNAcentral lists this ribosomal RNA (397 nucleotides) under uncultured bacterium. RNAcentral describes it as "partial 16S ribosomal RNA". It matches the Rfam family "Bacterial small subunit ribosomal RNA", at positions 523 to 918 of the family's 1533-position model. The record is from RNAcentral.
AUACGUAGGGGGCGAGCGUUGUCCGGAAUGAUUGGGCGUAAAGGGCGCGUAGGCGGCUUUGCAAGUCAGUAGUGGAAGUCCAUUUUUCAAGGAUGGAAGUGCUACAGAAACUGCGGAGCUUGAGUGCAGGAGAGGUUAUCGGGAUUCCCGGUGUAGCGGUGAAAUGCGUAGAGAUCGGGAGGAACACCAGUGGCGAAGGCGGGUAACUGGACUGCAACUGACGCUGAGGCGCGAAAGUGUGGGGAGCAAACAGGAUUAGAUACCCUGGUAGUCCACACUGUAAACGAUGAAUGCUAGGUGUAGGAGGUAUCGACCCCUUCAGUGCUGCAGCUAACGCAUUAAGCACUCCGCCUGGGGAGUACGGCCGCAAGGCUGAAACUCAAAUGAAUUGACGGGG